This 770-nucleotide ribosomal RNA is filed under the name Streptomyces sp. Its description in RNAcentral is "bacterial SSU rRNA". It matches the Rfam family "Bacterial small subunit ribosomal RNA", at positions 71 to 854 of the family's 1533-position model. Lineage: Bacteria; Bacillati; Actinomycetota; Actinomycetes; Kitasatosporales; Streptomycetaceae. The record is from RNAcentral.
UGAACCACUUCGGUGGGGAUUAGUGGCGAACGGGUGAGUAACACGUGGGCAAUCUGCCCUGCACUCUGGGACAAGCCCUGGAAACGGGGUCUAAUACCGGAUACGACACUCUCGGGCAUCCGAUGAGUGUGGAAAGCUCCGGCGGUGCAGGAUGAGCCCGCGGCCUAUCAGCUUGUUGGUGAGGUAACGGCUCACCAAGGCGACGACGGGUAGCCGGCCUGAGAGGGCGACCGGCCACACUGGGACUGAGACACGGCCCAGACUCCUACGGGAGGCAGCAGUGGGGAAUAUUGCACAAUGGGCGCAAGCCUGAUGCAGCGACGCCGCGUGAGGGAUGACGGCCUUCGGGUUGUAAACCUCUUUCAGCAGGGAAGAAGCGAAAGUGACGGUACCUGCAGAAGAAGCGCCGGCUAACUACGUGCCAGCAGCCGCGGUAAUACGUAGGGCGCAAGCGUUGUCCGGAAUUAUUGGGCGUAAAGAGCUCGUAGGCGGCUUGUCGCGUCGGUUGUGAAAGCCCGGGGCUUAACCCCGGGUCUGCAGUCGAUACGGGCAGGCUAGAGUUCGGUAGGGGAGAUCGGAAUUCCUGGUGUAGCGGUGAAAUGCGCAGAUAUCAGGAGGAACACCGGUGGCGAAGGCGGAUCUCUGGGCCGAUACUGACGCUGAGGAGCGAAAGCGUGGGGAGCGAACAGGAUUAGAUACCCUGGUAGUCCACGCCGUAAACGGUGGGCACUAGGUGUGGGCGACAUUCCACGUCGUCCGUGCCGCAGCUA